RNAcentral lists this long non-coding RNA (278 nucleotides) under Cicer arietinum (chickpea). Its description in RNAcentral is "long non-coding RNA (CARI_LNC001949)". Lineage: Eukaryota; Viridiplantae; Streptophyta; Magnoliopsida; Fabales; Fabaceae. The record is from RNAcentral.
AAAAAUUAAUAGUAACGUUGUCUAUUUUAUGUACAUUGCAGUGAUUUUUCAUGUAAAUUCGGAUUGUAUUUACAAUAUUUGAAUAAUAUGAAUUAAAUUGGUUUGAGUAAAAAAAAUCAUUGUUUUGGGCUUGUGUGUUGACUUGUUAUGAGAUACAAACUGCAAAGUAUCAGAAUUCAGAGCGAAAUUAAUUCGACGCAGAAAGGUAGCUUGGUGUUGAUGGAGAACGAUAGUCUGUCGGUAGUGUUUGACUCAGUUAUUUCCGUGUUAUGUGCCAG